Molecule: ribosomal RNA, 312 nt
Filed under: Penaeus semisulcatus
Lineage: Eukaryota; Metazoa; Arthropoda; Malacostraca; Decapoda; Penaeidae
Description: partial large subunit ribosomal RNA
Source: RNAcentral
UCAUGGUUAUAAUAAUUGAAUUUAACUUUUAAGUGAAAAGGCUUAAAUGGAUUAAGGGGACGAUAAGACCCUAUGUAAAGCUUGACAAUAAGUUAAUUAUAUUAUAAAUUGUUAGUAUAACUUGAUUUUAAUUGACGUUUGUUAUGCGUUGGGGCGACGAGAAUAUAAUGAGUAACUGUUUUUAAAUGUUUAAUGACAAAUAUAAUUGGUAUUUGAUUGAUGCCUUUAUUAAAGAUUAAAAGAUUAAGUUACUUUAGGGAUAACAGCGUAAUCUUCUUUGAGAGUUCAUAUCGACAAGAAGGUUUGCGACCC